RNAcentral lists this ribosomal RNA (796 nucleotides) under uncultured earthworm intestine bacterium. Its description in RNAcentral is "bacterial SSU rRNA". It matches the Rfam family "Bacterial small subunit ribosomal RNA", at positions 31 to 812 of the family's 1533-position model. The record is from RNAcentral.
GACAGCUGGCGGCGCGCUUAACACAUGCAAGUCGAGCGAGAACCUGGGCUUCGGCCCUGGGGACAGCGGCGAACGGGUGAGUAACACGUGGGUAAUCUGCCCUUGACAUCGGGAUAGCCCGGGGAAACCCGGAUUAAUACCGAAUAGCCUCCGGAGCCCUCGGGCGUCGGAGAAAAGGUAGCUUCGGCCUCUGGUCAAGGAUGAGCCCGCGGCGGAUUAGCUUGUUGGCGGGGUAACGGCCCACCAAGGCGACGAUCCGUAGCUGGUCUGAGAGGACGAUCAGCCACACUGGGACUGAGACACGGCCCAGACUCCUACGGGAGGCAGCAGUGGGGAAUCUUGCGCAAAUGCGGGAAACCGUGACGCAGCGACGCCGCGUGGGGGAAGAAGGCCUUCGGGUUGUAAACCUCUUUCAGGAGGGACGAAGCUACUCGGGUUAAUAGCCCAGAGGGUGACGGUACCUCCAGAAGAAGCCCCGGCUAACUACGUGCCAGCAGCCGCGGUAAUACGUAGGGGGCAAGCGUUGUCCGGAUUUAUUGGGCGUAAAGAGCGUGUAGGCGGCUUGGUAGGUCCGCUGUGAAAACUCGAGGCUCAACCUCGAGAUGUCGGCGGAAACCACUUGGCUAGAGUCCGGAAGAGGAGAGUGGAAUUCCCGGUGUAGCGGUGAAAUGCGCAGAUAUCGGGAAGAACACCUAUGGCGAAGGCAGCUCUCUGGGACGGUACUGACGCUGAGACGCGAAAGCGUGGGGGAGCGAACAGGAUUAGAUACCCUGGUAGUCCACGCCGUAAACGAUGG